This 446-nucleotide ribosomal RNA is filed under the name uncultured bacterium. Its description in RNAcentral is "bacterial SSU rRNA". It matches the Rfam family "Bacterial small subunit ribosomal RNA", at positions 355 to 825 of the family's 1533-position model. The record is from RNAcentral.
UCGGGAAUUUUGGGCAAUGGGCGAAAGCCUGACCCAGCAACGCCGCGUGAAGGAUGAAGUAUUUCGGUAUGUAAACUUCGAAAGAAUAGGAAGAAUAAAUGACGGUACUAUUUAUAAGGUCCGGCUAACUACGUGCCAGCAGCCGCGGUAAUACGUAGGGACCAAGCGUUGUUCGGAUUUACUGGGCGUAAAGGGCGCGUAGGCGGCAAUUCAAGUCAUCUGUGAAAUCUCCGGGCUUAACUCGGAACGGUCAGAUGAUACUGCUUUGCUAGAGUGCAGAAGGGGCAAUCGGAAUUCUUGGUGUAGCGGUGAAAUGCGUAGAUAUCAAGAGGAACACCUGAGGUGAAGACGGGUUGCUGGGCUGACACUGACGCUGAGGCGCGAAAGCCAGGGGAGCAAACGGGAUUAGAUACCACGUAGUCCCUGAGCGGGCUGGCAAGGCGCAU